CCGGCGACCGGCGCACGGGUGAGUAACACGUAUGCAACCUGCCCUCUUCAGGGGGACAACCUUCCGAAAGGGAGGCUAAUCCCGCGUAUAUCGGUUUCGGGCAUCCGAGAUCGAGGAAAGAUUCAUCGGAAGAGGAUGGGCAUGCGGCGCAUUAGGAAGACGGCGGUGUGACGGACCACCGUUCCGACGAUGCGUAGGGGUUCUGAGAGGAAGGCCCCCCACACUGGUACUGAGACACGGACCAGACUCCUACGGGAGGCAGCAG
This 265-nucleotide ribosomal RNA is filed under the name uncultured bacterium. RNAcentral's name for it is "partial 16S ribosomal RNA". It matches the Rfam family "Bacterial small subunit ribosomal RNA", at positions 88 to 354 of the family's 1533-position model. The record is from RNAcentral.